This 254-nucleotide ribosomal RNA is filed under the name uncultured bacterium. Its description in RNAcentral is "partial 16S ribosomal RNA". It matches the Rfam family "Bacterial small subunit ribosomal RNA", at positions 524 to 776 of the family's 1533-position model. The record is from RNAcentral.
UACGAAGGGGGCUAGCGUUGUUCGGAAUCACUGGGCGUAAAGCGUGCGUAGGCGGUUUGGAAAGUUAGAUGUGAAAUACUGGGGCUUAACCUCAGAAUUGCAUUUAAUACUGCCAGACUAGAGAUUGGUAGGGGAUAGUGGAAUUCCUAGUGUAGCGGUGAAAUGCGUAGAUAUUAGGAGGAACACCAGUGGCGAAGGCGACUGUCUGGGCCAAUACUGACGCUAAUUGCACGAAAGCGUGGGGAGCAAACAGG